CCUACGGGAGGCAGCAGUGAGGAAUAUUGGUCAAUGGGGGGAACCCUGAACCAGCAACGCCGCGUGGGGGAUGAAGGUUUUCGGAUUGUAAACUCCUUUUUUUCGGGAAGAUAAUGACGGUAUCUAACGAAUCAGCACCAGCUAACUCCGUGACAGCAGCCGCUGGAAUCCGGAGGGUGUACGCGUUACUCGGAAUCACUGGGCGUAAAGAGCGCGUAGGCGGGAUAGCAAGUCAGAUGUGAAAUCCUAUGGGUUAACCAUAGAACUGCAGUUGAAACUGUUAUUCUAGAGUAUGGGAGAGGUAUGUGGAAUGCGUGGUGUAGGGGUAAAAUCCGUAGAGAUCAAGAGGAAUACUCAUUGCGAAGGCGACCUGCUAGAACAUAACUGACGCUGAUGCGCGAAAGCGUGGGGAGCGAACAGGAUUAGAUACCCCUGUAGUC
RNAcentral lists this ribosomal RNA (440 nucleotides) under uncultured bacterium. RNAcentral describes it as "partial 16S ribosomal RNA". It matches the Rfam family "Bacterial small subunit ribosomal RNA", at positions 338 to 795 of the family's 1533-position model. The record is from RNAcentral.